Molecule: long non-coding RNA, 633 nt
Filed under: Bos taurus (domestic cattle)
Lineage: Eukaryota; Metazoa; Chordata; Mammalia; Artiodactyla; Bovidae
Description: long non-coding RNA NONBTAT007049
Source: RNAcentral
AUUUCAGUUAUAUAGUAAUGAUCUUUUUAAAGUCAAAUAACGUUCCCCUGGUCCCCUGGAUUCCACCCUUCUACUAUAGUAGAGUGCCGGACAUGUCCACAGUUUAAUCUUAAAAUAUGGCUCCCUGGAGAGAAUUCAUACUUCUUCAAGCUGCCUGGAGCUGAAGAACUGGCCUGUGCUUUUGUAAAUGUCUGGUUUUGUUUGUUUUGUUGAAUUAGGGGCUAAGGUGGAGAAGGAAAAUGCUGGCAACUAUCCACUGCUCAAAGAGUUCACACAUAUUCUUAUAAUUUCUCUAAUAAUACUUCUUUGGAGCUAGAACAGACUAUCAUCGAGUUCUCCAUUGGAAUUUUGUAAGAUUCUUAGACCCAAACCAGGAAAAAAGUGUAAUAAUUUGAGAAUUCAAAAGGCCCACACAGCAGGCCUUGUAGAGUUCGUCUAGGGGUCAAUCACAGAACCCUUUCUUGUGGCAUAAUUUAUACCUUUAACAUUUGGCAGUUUUUAAAGUCCUGUGUCAAUGCACAUGUGUUGGUAAGAAGUAGUAAAUAUUUUGCUGACAAGUUCUUUGAAAGACGGAUCAGUGGCAGCGUUUAAAGGCAGACAACCUGAGGGUUUCUUUCAUCCAGGUGCUGCCAA